RNAcentral lists this unclassified non-coding RNA (212 nucleotides) under plant metagenome. Its description in RNAcentral is "partial contains small subunit ribosomal RNA, internal transcribed spacer 1, and 5.8S ribosomal RNA". The record is from RNAcentral.
UCUCCGUUGGCGAACCAGCGGAGGGAUCAUUACAGGAUCGAAAGACUCCUAUAACCCCUGUGAACUUACUACAAAUACGUUGCUUCGGCGGGUGCCCCGGGUCUCCCGGGGCGUUCAGCCCGCCGGCAGCCUUCAAAUUCUGUUUCUUUGCGUUGGCAUCUCGAGUAUACAAAAAUAAGUUAAAACUUUCAACAACGGAUCUCUUGGUUCUG